AUGAACGCUGGCGGCGUGCUUAACACAUGCAAGUCGAGCGAGAAGUUUUGAAAAGAUUCUUCGGAUGAAAUUUAAAAUGGCAAGCGGCGGACGGGUGAGUAACGCGUAGGCAACCUGCCCCAUACAAAGGGAUAGCAUUUGGAAACGAAUAUUAAUACCUUAUGAAACUUAACUAGUGCAUGCUAGGUAGGUCAAAGAUUUAUCGGUAUGGGAUGGGCCUGCGUCUGAUUAGCUAGUUGGUGAGGUAACGGCUCACCAAGGCGACGAUCAGUAGCCGACCUGAGAGGGUGAACGGCCACAUUGGAACGGAGACACGGUCCAAACUCCUACGGGAGGCAGCAGUGGGGAAUAUUGCACAAUGGGGGAAACCCUGAUGCAGCAACGCCGCGUGAACGAUGAAGGCCUUUGGGUCGUAAAGUUCUGUUCUAGGUGAUGAAAACUGACAGUAACCUAGGAGAAAGCCCCGGCUAACUCCGUG
Molecule: ribosomal RNA, 478 nt
Filed under: uncultured bacterium
Lineage: Bacteria
Description: partial 16S ribosomal RNA
Rfam family: Bacterial small subunit ribosomal RNA
Source: RNAcentral